Molecule: ribosomal RNA, 253 nt
Filed under: uncultured bacterium
Lineage: Bacteria
Description: partial 16S ribosomal RNA
Rfam family: Bacterial small subunit ribosomal RNA
Source: RNAcentral
UACGUAGGGGGCAAGCGUUGUCCGGAAUCAUUGGGCGUAAAGAGCGUGUAGGCGGCCCGGUAAGUCCGCUGUGAAAGCCCCGGGCUCAACCUGGGAAUGGCAUUGGAAACUGGCGAGCUUGAGUGUGGCAGAGGGGGGUGGAAUUCCGCGUGUAGCAGUGAAAUGCGUAGAGAUGCGGAGGAACACCGAUGGCGAAGGCAGCCCCCUGGGCUGACACUGACGCUCAGGCACGAAAGCGUGGGGAGCAAACAGG